RNAcentral lists this unclassified non-coding RNA (998 nucleotides) under Centaurea podospermifolia. RNAcentral's name for it is "partial external transcribed spacer". The record is from RNAcentral. Lineage: Eukaryota; Viridiplantae; Streptophyta; Magnoliopsida; Asterales; Asteraceae.
UACUAGUGUUGGUUUGCGACUUGAUCCUAAGGCCAAGCCCCCUCGCGUGACGACCACGCUGGCCACCGGGCAAAAUGCGCAUCACCUCUUGCUUGUCUAGAUCAGCCCGGACGUUGGCAUGUGUAUCGUAUUUUUUCGGGUUCCGAGAUCAAGAAUCGAUGUCCCUUUGUUGGUUGGUUUUCCGAGAAUCCUUGACCCUUAUGACGCUGGCCACCGGGCAAAAUGCGCCUCACUUGCUGGCACGUCUAGAUCAGCCCGGGCGUAGGCAUGUGUAUCGUAUUUUGUCGGGUUCCGAGAUCAAGAAUCGAUGUCCCUUUGUUGGUUGGUUUUCCGAGAAUCCUUGACCCUUAAUGACGCUGGCCACCCGGCAAAAUGCGCCUCACUUGCUAGCACGUCUAGAUCAGCCCGGGCGUAGGCAUGUGUAUCGUAUUUUGUCGGGUUUCGAGAUCAAGAAUCGAUGUCCCUUUGUUGGUUGGUUUUCCGGGAAUCCUUGACCCUUGAUUUGUUACUUUCGCAUCGUUCGGUGCAUUCUGGGGGAUGUUUUGGCUUUUGGUGGCUUACUUGGCCUUUUGGCUGGGUUUGUUGCUAUCGGUCGGGCGGCUUUCGGGAAUGUCGACCGUGGAGGUGCAUGAGUGGUGUUUGGUUUGUUACGUGUGGAUGGCUGUUUGCUUGCGCAACAACGUUCACGCUGCAUACCUCUUCAGUUUUGCGGCAAGGCUUGGUUUGGCUUGUGCAUAUUGUGGGUUUCCUGUGUUGCAUACCUAGUUGAAGGAAAAGUGUGGGUUUUACGAUUUUCAUUUUCGUCUUGUGUCGUUCUUUCGGCAUGGGAUGAGCAAUGAAGCGAUCUUUAUGAUCCAUCGUGCUGUUGUGUUUGCAACAAUGAUGUGGCCUAUGAAGCAUCGUUUGGUCUCUUGUAUACGGAAGCUCAUUUUGGCUUGGGUCUUUAUAAGAUCUUCGUUACGCCCUUGUUAAGCGUUCUCGCUUCUCCUAAACGAUUG